AUAUUAAAAUGAUAGUGUUGCUAAACCUUAAAAUAAAUGUUUUGAUAAUUGAUCCAUAUUUUUAAUACUCUAACAAGUGUUUCAGUGUAUUAAUCUUUGAAGUGAUAAAGAAGUUUGUGUGAAAAGCAUUUUUUGAAAGUAUAAUUAUAUUUUUUAUAUAACUUAAAAGUUAUUUGUCGAUUAGCAUAUUAAUGUAAAUAAUAUCAAGGUUAAAUAAGUUCAAUACAAAAACUGAACCAUAUUAAUAUUGUGUUAAACAAAAAAAAAAGUGUACUAUAAACUUCUCUCUAGACGUUUUUUACUCGGUGUGUAUUGUGUACAAAAUACGAACUUGUGGACUAAUUUAGCUAGAUAAAAAUUUGUGUUGUGUGUAAAGCUUCGUUUUUAUGUUUAAUUACGUAAAACAUUUAAGGUUAGUAAAAAUCAUUGAAAAAAUACAUUACAAUUCUUUACUAUUUUUUAAAUAAUUUUAUAUUUCAAUAAUCUGUUUUUUUUUUUCAGAUGGCUUUUAUGUAUUAUUUUAUUUUUAUUAACUCAUCCAAGUUUUAUUUUUAAAUAAUUCAUCCAAUAAAUAAUUUGAUAUAUUGAAUAUCGUGGUACCGGAUGUAAAUAGCCUGAAUCAUUGUUAAAAAGUACUAAGUAUUGUAAAUUAUUACAAACGAUAGUUAAACAUUGUGAAGGGUCUGCCUGACAUGGCCAACGUUUUAUGUUCAAAUAAGUGGCACAGCAGAAACAAUGGAAGAGGCAGAGGAAAAAUUAAUAAGAUUAAAAAGAACCCCUAUUCUUCUCUACCAAUAAUGAGUAGUCUGCUAAAGCAAAAGAUUGAUUAAAAAUAGAUAAUAUAUUUAGCCAAAUAGCUUUAGAGUUAACUGACGAACCCACUGAAAUUGCAGAACCUAAGAAAUAAAAGCCAAAAAAAUGUAACCAAAAAAUAGUGAAGAAACAAGCCUAAAAACAUAGUCUCGAAUGGUCAUCUACAUCAAUAGCGUCUUCGAUAUCUUCAUCACCACCGUCAUCAUUAUGUAAACCUAUAGAAAUAAAUAAUGAAACAAAAUAAAACGAAUUAAUGACAGUACUAACUAUAUUGUUGACUCAAAAAAAAGGAAAAAAUUAGUUCAUAAUCUACACCAUACCACCUUGAUCAUCUUCAUCAUCACCAUCAACUAAAAGUAGAAAAAUAAGAAAAAUCCACUCGAAUUUGAAGGACAUAAAUAUGCGUAUGGAAAUAGCACAUGAAGACAGUACAUUAGCAACAAUUGCUGAUAAUCCCUUAUCAUCAUCAUAAAUUUGAAACAGAAGCUGAAAUGAAUAUAUUAGCAGCUAGAUCAUCAUCAACAAAAAAUACUGUAUCCAGUGAUUCUUAGCUGGAAUGUAUCAAACAUAAUUAUAACAGUCUAUCAAAACAAUUAGCGAAUUUAAAAGGCCAUAUCUGCUGAUGUUCCCAAAUCCUGUCUGAAAUAAAAAAAUAACAGUACUCAGCUGUUAGAUUUCAGUUUAUUAACAGAUCCUGAAGGAAAUCCAGUGGUCCAAAAAUUAGAAUUUCCGCUAUCAACAAUGGAAGAUAUUAUUUUGAUAAAUUCAAUGAAAAAUUGAAAGGCGAAAAAUAUAAAAAUAAAAUGGUAAGUUUUUAAUAAACUAUAUUCUUAUAUACAAAUAUAUGAAAGAUCUAAUAUAGUUGCUCUAUCUGACAAUAUUGAAAUUGUCAUAUUUGAUAAAAUGCUAAUCAUAAUAAUUAAUUAAUCAUACAAAUAAUUAUAAUAAAUUUUCUUUUCCAGAAUAAACGUAUAUACUUUUCUCUUGAUGGAAAAUAUACUUUUACCCGUAAUAUGGGAAAUAUUACUCGUGUUUAUAUAACAAGAGAUGUCAUAUGUAGCAGUUAAAGCAACUCCAAAAAAAAGUUUUCAAAGAUACAACUUUUUCACUUCUAUAAAAACUGCAGUAAGACAGAAAUUCGAAAAGAAUCAAGAAAGUAUUUUCGAUAAUAAAUUCCAUCAAGCAUUGUCUGCAGUAUUGAAUAAUGCUAAUAAAAUAAUAAAGAUUGGGAUGGGUACAGGGUAUCCAGGAUCAAAAAACUACCAUCUAAUGAAGAUAAAUAAAAACAACUAAUCGCUUUUAAUUUAUUUACUUUUUUAAAAUCUUUUUUUUUUUUUUGCUGUGUAAAAUAUUUUGCCAAGCAAACAAAAAGAAAAAUUAAUUCAUAAUGUUUAAUAACAAUCAUUAUUAUUAUUAACUAUAACAUAAAAAUAAUUGAUAUUUAAAGUAAAAACAAAAAUAAAUAAUACAUUUGAAAAAAUAAAUGGAAAUAAAUAUGUUUUUUUUUUCAAUCGGAUAAGUUUUAUUUCUGUUUAAGUGCACAAUAAAGUGUAUUGUUAUGUUAUGUUAAGUUAUAUAUAUAUAAUAUGUUAUUUUAAAUAUACAUAGUAUGUUAAGUAACAUAGUAAUAUCAUUUCUUUUUUUUUUUUUUUUUGACGUGACGUCUAAUAAAUCGAUUAACGCCGGCUUCGUUACGCUCAUCUGAUCUAUCUGAUCGGCCUAUGCAUCCGAGGAGAUGUUUUGUUAUGACGGUUGUCACGUUUAACUAUCCUCUGUAAACCAACUUUGCAGACAACCAAGUUUUUUAAUAAACAAUUUUGUCAAGACUACAUUCGUGUUUUAUUUAAAAGGACCGCGCUGGGCAUACUCGAUUUGGAUCAAGCAACCAAGGACCGGACCGUGUAUGCCUGAUCAGGACUAGAUAGGGCAUGUAACGCAAAUGAUGUAUCCGGACCUGACCAGGGAAACCUGAUCAGGUCCAGAUCAGGUAUGACCUGAGAUCAGGAAAACCUGAUCAGGUCCAGAUCAGGUUGUCCUGAUCAGGUCCAGAUACAUCAUCUGCGUUACAUGCCUUAUCUAGUCCUGAUCAGGCAUGCACGGUCCGGUCCUGACUAGGAAGACGAAAAAAUUUCUACUCGGGUAUG
This 2957-nucleotide unclassified non-coding RNA is filed under the name Melitaea cinxia (Glanville fritillary). RNAcentral's name for it is "misc RNA ENSMCXG00005011402.1". Lineage: Eukaryota; Metazoa; Arthropoda; Insecta; Lepidoptera; Nymphalidae. The record is from RNAcentral.